Molecule: long non-coding RNA, 284 nt
Filed under: Phoenix dactylifera (date palm)
Lineage: Eukaryota; Viridiplantae; Streptophyta; Magnoliopsida; Arecales; Arecaceae
Description: long non-coding RNA (PDAC_LNC016503)
Source: RNAcentral
UGGAUAUUACAAAUAGGUUUAUUUCCUAUUAAUAUAUUUGAUUAUUUUGAGGCCAUAGAAUAUGCAUAUUGAUGGGGGAAUUCUAAUUAUUUGAAUUCUCACAUUUGGAUUGGGCUACUGGAUUUUACUUGUAAUUGUAGAAGACUAUUUGAUGUGUAGAUGUAAAACUCAAGCCUAGGUUUAAGAUUUGAGUAGGGAUCUUUUGUCAUUGUUGAUGAAGCCACUAAUAAAUGUCAUAUUGAGUAAAGACUUCGAUCAUGAGAUGCUUACAUGAAUUAUCAUAU